Non-coding RNA from Microcebus murinus (gray mouse lemur), 241 nucleotides. The record is from RefSeq and is a predicted model, not a curated record. NCBI's taxonomy places the organism in Eukaryota, Metazoa, Chordata, Mammalia, Primates, Cheirogaleidae.
UUCACACAUUAUUUCCGAGCAUCCUGACAACCACCAGAUGACGUUGGCUGUAAUCAGUUCGAUUCACAGGCACUGUCCUGAAUGCUGAGAAUUGAGUAGGGGCAAAAACUAAGUCCUGACCACAAAGAAGAAAGACAUUAACAAAUUUGGAAACCAAGGUGUACAAAGAGAAGGUGACUUUACCAAAGCCACAGACUAAUAAAUGGGACUUAUGUUCAGGUCUGACUUCAAGUCUAACCUU